Molecule: ribosomal RNA, 253 nt
Filed under: uncultured bacterium
Lineage: Bacteria
Description: partial 16S ribosomal RNA
Rfam family: Bacterial small subunit ribosomal RNA
Source: RNAcentral
UACGGAGGGUGCAAACGUUGCUCGGAAUUAUUGGGCGUAAAGCGCAUGUAGGCGGACUUUCAAGUCGGGUGUGAAAUCCCUCAGCUUAACUGAGGACGUGCAUUCGAAACUGUUAGUCUUGAAUAUGGAAGAGGGUCGCGGAAUUCCCGGUGUAAAGGUGAAAUUCGUAGAUAUCGGGAGGAACACCAGUGGCGAAGGCGGCGACCUGGUCCAAUAUUGACGCUGAGAUGCGAAAGCGUGGGGAGCAAACAGG